RNAcentral lists this ribosomal RNA (972 nucleotides) under Nymphicus hollandicus (cockatiel). Its description in RNAcentral is "12S ribosomal RNA". It matches the Rfam family "Bacterial small subunit ribosomal RNA". Lineage: Eukaryota; Metazoa; Chordata; Aves; Psittaciformes; Cacatuidae. The record is from RNAcentral.
AAAAGACUCAGUCCUAACCUUGCCGUUAAUUUCCCGCUCAACAUAUACAUGCAAGUAUCCGCACUCCAGUGCAAACGCCCCAGCCUCUUACCAAGACAAAAGGAGCAGGCAUCAGGCACGCCCCGUCAACCGCAGCCCAAGACGCCUCGCCUCGCCACACCCCCACGGGUACUCAGCAGUAAUUAACAUUAAGCAAUAAGCGUAAGCUUGACCUAGUUAGAGCAACCAGGGUUGGUAAAUCUUGUGCCAGCCACCGCGGUCAUACAAGAAACCCAAAUUAACCGCACACGGCGUAAAGAGUGGUACCCAAUUAUCACCACCAACUAAGAUCAAACCACAAUCCAAGCUGUCAUAAGCCCAAGAUGUCCUGAAGCCCCACCCUAAAACCAAUCUUAGCACCUGUGACCUACCUACUCCACGAAAGCCAGGACACAAACUGGGAUUAGAUACCCCACUAUGCCUGGCCCUAAAUCUUGAUGUUUCCCAUACAAAAACAUCCGCCCGAGAACUACGAGCACAAACGCUUAAAACUCUAAGGACUUGGCGGUGCCCUAAACCCACCUAGAGGAGCCUGUUCUAUAAUCGAUAAUCCACGAUACACCCGACCACCCCUUGCCAAAACAGCCUACAUACCGCCGUCGCCAGCCCACCUUCCAUGAAAGCACAAUAGUGAGCCCAACAGCCCACAACCACUAACACGACAGGUCAAGGUAUAGCCCAUGGAGUGGAAGAAAUGGGCUACAUUCUCUAAAAUAGAUAACCUAACGAAAAGAGGCCUGAAACCUGCCUCCAGAAGGCGGAUUUAGCAGUAAAGGGGGACAAUAAAUGCCCCCUUUAAGUCGGCUCUAGGGCACGUACACACCGCCCGUCACCCUCCUCACAAGCUACCCCCAAAUUAAUUAAAACACUAAUAAGCCGAAGACGAGGUAAGUCGUAACAAGGUAAGUGUACCGGAAGGUGCACUUAGCAUAU